CGCGAAGAACCUUACCAGGGCUUGACAUCUACAGAAUCCUUUGAAAACAAGGGAGUGCCUUCCGGGGAGCUGUAAGACAGGUGGUGCAUGGUUGUCGUCAGCUCGUGUCGUGAGAUGUUGGGUUAAGUCCCGCAACGAGCGCAACCCCUGUGUUUAGUUGCUAACGAGUAAGGUCGAGCACUCUAGACAGACUGCCGGUGAUAAACCGGAGGAAGGUGGGGAUGACGUCAAAUCAUCAUGCCCCUUAUGUUCUGGGCUACACAUGUGCUACAAUGGCCAGUACAGACGGAAGCGAAGCCGCGAGGUGGAGCAAAUCCGAGAAAGCUGGUCUCAGUUCGGAUUGCAGGCUGCAACUCGCCUGCAUGAAGUCGGAAUCGCUAGUAAUCGCAGGUCAGCAUACUGCGGUGAAUACGUUCCCGGGCCUUGUACACACCGCCCGUCACACCACGAAAGUCUGCAACACCCGAAGCCGGUGAGGUAACCCGUAAGGGAGCUAGCCGUCGAAGGUGGGGCCGAUAAUUGGGGUGAAGUCGUAACAAGGUAACCGUAAGGGC
Molecule: ribosomal RNA, 554 nt
Filed under: uncultured bacterium
Lineage: Bacteria
Description: bacterial SSU rRNA
Rfam family: Bacterial small subunit ribosomal RNA
Source: RNAcentral